This 497-nucleotide ribosomal RNA is filed under the name uncultured bacterium. RNAcentral describes it as "partial 16S ribosomal RNA". It matches the Rfam family "Bacterial small subunit ribosomal RNA", at positions 28 to 507 of the family's 1533-position model. The record is from RNAcentral.
GAUGAACGCUGGCGGCGUGCCUAAUACAUGCAAGUCGAGCGAACAGACGAGGAGCUUGCUCCUCUGACGUUAGCGGCGGACGGGUGAGUAACACGUGGAUAACCUACCUAUAAGACUGGGAUAACUUCGGGAAACCGGAGCUAAUACCGGAUAACAUGUUGAACCGCAUGGUUCAACAGUGAAAUACGGUCUUGCUGUCGCUUAUAGAUGGAUCCGCGCCGCAUUAGCUAGUUGGUAAGGUAACGGCUUACCAAGGCAACGAUGCGUAGCCGACCUGAGAGGGUGAUCGGCCACACUGGAACUGAGACACGGUCCAGACUCCUACGGGAGGCAGCAGUAGGGAAUCUUCCGCAAUGGGCGAAAGCCUGACGGAGCAACGCCGCGUGAGUGAAGAAGGUCUUCGGAUCGUAAAACUCUGUUAUUAGGGAAGAACAAAUGUGUAAGUAACUAUGCACGUCUUGACGGUACCUAAUCAGAAAGCCACGGCUAACUACGUG